CCUCCGCGCCUCGGCCUGGUCGUUUAACCGAUUCUUUCACCCGCAGGUCUCAACCCAAGCACCCGCUCCUCUGCGUCCCGGGGCCGGACGGAGGGAUGAGGCAGGGGGGGCCCGGGCAGCGCCGUUGCUGCUCCCCCCGCCGCCCGCAGCCAUGGAAACGGGGGAGGCGGACGGCGCCCGCCGAGGUACACAAAGCCCCGAGAGGAAAAGGCGAAGCCCAGUGCCGCGGGCGCCCAGCGCGAAGCUGAGGCCAGUGGCUGCGGCCCAGGCCAUGGAUCCGGUGGCGGCCGAAGCCCCCGGCGAGGCCUACCUGGCUCGGCGGCGGCCCGAGGGUGGCGGCGGGUCCGCGCAGCCGCGCUACAGCCUGGUGGCCGAGAUCGGGCGCGGCAGCUACGGCGUGGUUUACGAGGCCGUGGCCGGGCGCAGCGGGGCCCGGGUGGCGGUCAAGAAGAUCCGCUGCGACGCCCCGGAAAACGUGGAGCUGGCGCUGGCGGAGUUCUGGGCCCUGACCAGUCUCAAGCGGCGCCACCAGAACGUGGUGCAGUUUGAGGAGUGUGUCCUGCAGCGCAACGGCCUAGCCCAGCGCAUGAGCCACGGCAACAAGAACUCGCAGCUUUACCUGCGCCUGGUGGAGACCUCGCUCAAAGGAGAAAGGAUCCUGGGUUAUGCUGAGGAGCCCUGUUAUCUCUGGUUUGUCAUGGAGUUCUGUGAAGGUGGAGACCUGAAUCAGUACGUCCUGUCCCGGAGGCCGGACCCAGCCACCAACAAAAGCUUCAUGCUACAGCUCACAAGCGCCAUUGCCUUCCUGCACAAAAACCACAUCGUGCACAGGGACCUAAAGCCAGACAACAUCCUUAUCACGGAGAGGUCUGGCACCCCCAUCCUCAAGGUGGCAGACUUUGGACUAAGCAAGGUCUGUGCUGGGCUAGCCCCCCGAGGCAAAGAGGGUAAUCAAAACAACAAAAAUGUGAAUGUGAAUAAAUACUGGCUGUCCUCAGCCUGCGGCUCAGACUUCUACAUGGCCCCUGAAGUCUGGGAGGGACACUACACAGCCAAGGCUGACAUCUUUGCCCUGGGCAUUAUCAUCUGGGCAAUGAUAGAAAGAAUCACUUUCAUUGACUCUGAGACCAAGAAGGAGCUCCUGGGGACCUAUAUCAAACAGGGGACCGAGAUCGUCCCUGUUGGUGAGGCGCUGCUAGAAAAUCCAAAGAUGGAGUUGCACAUCCCCCAGAAACGCAGGACUUCCAUGUCUGAGGGGAUCAAGCAGCUCUUGAAAGAUAUGUUAGCUGCUAACCCACAGGACCGGCCUGAUGCCUUUGAACUUGAAACCAGAAUGGACCAGGUCACAUGUGCUGCUUAAAAUUCAGGGCAAAGCAUCUUGGUUGUUUUUAAACUAGGGUUAUCAGUUAAGAUACAGUUGCAGCAGUGGAACUAUAGGAUCUACAGGUCCAAACGCGGCAGAAGCUCUGAAAACACAGUGCCAUGUUGCUCUCCGAAAGGCUGUGCUCCCUCCUCCCACGGUGUGUGUCCUUUUCAUGGCACCCUCACCCAGCUCCGAGCAGGGUUCUGGUUCAGUGGCUGAGGACCACGGUGUUUAAAUCUCAUACAUUCGUCAUUUCUGGUCGGGACAGAUGGCUGGGAGAGAAUGGGCUCAUCGAGUAUGCCAGUUCCUGCUGUGGCCAGGUUGAUCCCCGGGACCCACAGUCUCGUCAAGUCUCACAGAGGACGGCAGAGGGUACAGGUGCCCGGCCAGCGGCCAUCUCCCGACAGCUGGAGCUCCAGCAAUGUGAAGCUUUGUUUGCAUUUUCUCCCUUCAGUUUUGUUUAAAUUUUUUUGUCUUUUUUUUUUUUUUAAUUUAAACGAUUUAAGACUUCAAAAGAGCAGAAGCUCUGCUGUGGACAGGCACCAGUUUCUUUAAAGAAAUUUAAUAUGGACAAAGCAUUUGUGUAAAUUUCAUCUUUAAUUUUUAUAAGGGGUUAGGGCACUAUUUUGUUUUUGUUCUUGCUUUUCCCUGUCUUUCUUUUACCUGUUUCUCAGUUCUGCUUAUAACACCUCACUUCCCCCCGAGGAGGCCCCUCUCCGCGGCGAUGGGGGCAUUUCUCCUGGAACGGAAUGGAGACAGGAGGAGGCCCCUGGGCCACCUUCCCACCAGGCGCAGGAACUGCCGACCCGAGCUGCUCCCGGCCAGCUCUUGGCCUUGGGUAAAGAUCCGCCUGGAGGAGGAAGACCAGCGUUUGCCCGGGAGAACUCAAGAAAGCAGCUCCCACCGGGGGUGUGUGCUCUUUAAGCUGUGGAAGCCCCGGCCACACCAGGACUGACGGUGGUGGGACUCCAUUCCCCCCACUGCCCUCCGUGACCGAGAUCUCUGAAGGGGCGGGGGACGGGACAGAAGUGAUCAUCUCCCACUUCCUGCGGUUGAGCGGUCAGCCCACCCCAACUCUACACGCCUACGUUUCUGUUAGUGUUCUUCCUCCCAGCAGAAAUCCCCAGGAAGAAACUGUCAUGCCAAACCUCUGCCCAGGUUGUCACGGAGACCGCCUGAGUCCCUGCGAUCCUGUCGUGAGCAUUGCCAUAGAACAGGGUGCCCUGGACUGGCUGUCGCUGCACUGAAGGGUGUGCCCUAUGUGCCGGGACCCCUGGUAUCACUUAUGGUAACAGUGUCGUGCCAUCUCCCUCACCCCAGGGGCACACUGUUAGGUGUAAAUGUGUCUGACCGGAAAAGGAUGGAACAGCCGAGAGUUGGGGGGUGACUGGGCAGACCCCUGCAGCCUUUAGGUGCCUGAUUGUGGGUUUGCCACCUAGAGAUUCCCCAGCUCUGGAGCCCACCAGCAGGGUCAGUAUAGCUGCUCUUCCGCUCUUCACAGCACUCGCAGCCCCUCUUCACAGGCUUCUGAACCUGGCAUUGUCCCCCUGCACCCCCCCGUUUCCCCUCCCAGCUCCCGGCAGGACAGAGGAACCCUCCUCUGUUGGCCCCCUGUGUCACCUGGGCACUGCUUUAGCUACUCCAGAAGCUCUUCACCCUGUGACAGCCAAGCAGGAAAGGGCCUUUGGGGAGGGGGAAGGGAUUCCUCUUUUGUGUUUAUUUUUGGUUUUUGUCUUCUCUCAGCCAGCAUAGGAUCAGUAGGGGAGAUCGCUGGAGGGCCUUUCAGUUCUGUGUGACCAAGGGGGCCUUCCCCACAGCAGCCCUGGUCCUGCAGCUCUGGGCGUUUGGGAGAAGCUAGCGUGGUGUCAGCCCAAACUUGACAAUAUGUUUGCUCACAUUCUUUCUGCCUUUUCUCAAGCUCCUUGGAUACCAAGGCUCCUUCCUCCUGGGCAGACAGCUAGCUGGCUGUGGUUAGCAGGACCAGCAGGGCUGCAGGUGGUAACCAGGCCCUUCCAUUCCUUGGCUGAAAUCCUUUGUGAUCACCUGCCUCUUAUCGCUUCUUCUCGGGUGCCCUGUGUGUGCUCUAGGCUGCACCUGGGAGGUUGGGAGCCCAGCAUCCCCUAAUUGCAGUGCACACUCCAGCCCCACCCCCUGCCUUCCCUGCGGCCAGCUGUCUCUGCACAUGAGCGAAUGAGAAAAACAGUCCCCAAACUCAGCAGCCCCCUCUCCCUGCUACAGCUCGGGUUCUGAAGUCCCCAGUGAGGGCUCAAGCCUAACAAGUCAUUUGCCUUUUGCUUGUCUUUUUCUUCUGCCCUCCCCAGCCUCUUAGCUCUGAGUAGGUCUUGGAGCUGCAAUGCACCCCCCUUUGUUAUUUUUCCUGGCGCCAGGGUAUCCCCUAUAGGUGACGGGAUGUCCAUAACUUUUGGGUAAGGUGGGCAGCCUGGGUAGCCAGCUUCCAUGUGCCCUUACCUUGUAGGGCUCCAGCCCUCCUGGCUUGGUGGUGGGCCCUCCUUCCCUAGCUCUUGAGGGCCAGCUCGUUAGCCCAAGUGCCUGUCUCCCCUCUCUCCUUCCCCUGCUCUCUCCACUUUGUCCACCUGAAGUUGGCGUCGGUCCUAAGUCAGUCCAGUCCAUGGACUAGCCUGGGGUGAGGUGGGUGGCCCCUGUCCUCCUUCUCAGCCACUUGCCACCUGUUCCCGCCGUGGUCGGCUUCCUCCCCUCUUCCUGCCUUUUCACCCUCUCCACCCGUCUCAGGCCUGGCAGCAGCUCUGUGGUGCAUCACCUCAGUGCCACCAAGUUUGUUAAGUUUGUCCAAGUUCCAGAAGUUUCCAAACUUUAAAAUAGCAGUCCGUUACUCGCUUCUCCAGUCCGAAAGGAGAGCCUGUUGGAGGGAGAGUCUGGGCCCGGUGCCCCUAAGUGAGAGGAGUCAGCAGACAGAUCAUGCAUAGUGCCUUAUUCCAUUGUCUUCCCUGGCCAGACCCCGCUCCCCUGGAGUCUGUGUCUUCUUCCUCGUUUGUGUCCAUCUGUCUCUUAAACUCUCCCUCCCAUUCACCCAUAGCCACAUGGGGUUCCCCUCUCCCCUCUCCUCCCCUCUCCUUCCCCCAUCCCUUCCUGGGGGCUGCAGCCAGGUACACAUCUCCUGCCCACCACCAGGGCGAUCUCUAGCAGCUUUAGCUGAGGAUGGAAAAUGCUUUAGGCAGGUGCACUCUGCCUCUUACUACCCAGCAGUCCCUGCCUCUUACCUCUAGCCAGGAGGAUGCCACGAUUGUUCAUACAAGACCGGCUCCAUCUGACCCCCUUCUGGGCACUGGGGACUAAGCCGCAGGCCUCAGCCUCAUCUCCUCCCGGAGGCACUGGGAGGAGGACGGGACCUCUCCUCCCGCCCGGAUGUGGUUGCCCCUCAUGGCUGCCUUUCUGAGGGCGUGCAUAUGUUUACUUGAGAAAUACCCUGUUUACAGCCAGAGGAGAAUGGUGCCCAACACUAGGUGGAGAGUGACUCGGGACAGCCUGGCCUCUAUGGCACUGCCGGCGGUGGCCCCAGCGUGAAUGAAGGCAGAGGCUGGGGCGCUCCCUGCACUCCCUCUACUCCCCGACCCUGCGGUGCUACAACCACUGGCCACCUUCCUCAGCCUCCUGGUCCCGGACAUUCCCCACCUGCAUUCCUUCCUCCAAGGUCCUCAGCUCCUUAACAUAUCAGUUGCCUCCUAGAGAACCAGUGUGUGGAGCAAUAAGAUUUUUUUUUUUUUUUGCUUGAGUCUUUUUAUAAGAAAAGGAAAAGAGUUGACAUUGUGGGACUCUCCUCUUUGUGCUGUUGACUGUUUGCCUUCUUAGAAGACGGAUGGACAUCUGGGUUCUGACUUUGGGGUAUCUUGGAAGCUUGGAAAAGCAAGUCAGGCUUUUGCCCCUAAGAAGGGGAUCCUGACUCUGCCCUCACCAUGCUCCAUGCCACCUGAGCUUCCAGCCCCUCCCUCCAAGUGCGCCUCCCACCCUUGAUCCUGCUGGUGCCCCCACACAUAUCUGGGGCACUGGUGGCCCGACUCUAAGGGGGCUCUCGGGUUAUUGCCUCCCAUGGCCCUUUCCCCUUCUAGGUUUGUCUGGUGGCCCCCAGAUAGGCAGCUGCUGAGUCUCCUAGGAGGACAAUAGCCGAACUUGAACUAUUCAGUUCUUCUGGCCGCCAGGCUUAGGGCUGAGGCCCAGAGACACUGCCUCACGCUGGGCUGAGCCACAGCCUUCGGGACAACACAGGCCCAUCUCUGAUCCUGUCCACCUGAGCAUGGAGAGGUGCCUCGGGAGGGGAAGCAGGAGGUGUGGUGUGAGGGUUGACUGUCACUGGCUGCCCGGAGCGCCCCUAGAAUUGCAGGGGUCACCGGAGGGAGGCCACAGGAGGAAGGGAGUUUAUUUAGGGACAUUUUAAAGACCGAGUUCAUGCCCCGGGGCCUCUCUUCAUCAGAGCAGGGGAGUAUGUUGCGAUGAUUUAACAGUUGUGUGGGGCCAUUUCAGUGAGGGAAGAUUUAACCCAGGCUCAAAGUUUGUUUCAAAUACUAGUUAAUAAACCUAUUUUCCUUAUUUUCUUUUUUUGCACAGAAGCUGGUAAUCUAGGACCUACGUGUGAACAACUUUAUAUGAGUAUUUUUUGUACUUGGUUUACUUGGGUUGGUAUGAUACAUGAUAUUUAAGUUCCUUGAACACUGUGGAGCCCCUAAUGUGUAUGAAUGACUGAGGCUUUGUAAAUUAAGGGACGUUUGUGUGAAUAAAGUUAUUUGAUGGGGUCAAAGAAGCCAUAUGUGA
This is an RNA transcript of Myotis lucifugus (little brown bat), 6148 nucleotides long. It is a transcript of the gene named serine/threonine kinase 35, with no coding region annotated. The transcript is spliced from 4 exons. NCBI's taxonomy places the organism in Eukaryota, Metazoa, Chordata, Mammalia, Chiroptera, Vespertilionidae. The record is from RefSeq and is a predicted model, not a curated record.